CCGGCGAGGGGAGUGAAAAAGAACCUGAAACCGUGUACGUACAAGCAGUGGGAGCACAGAGCAAUCUGUGUGACUGCGUACCUUUUGUAUAAUGGGUCAGCGACUUAUAUUCUGUAGCAAGGUUAACCGAAUAGGGGAGCCGAAGGGAAACCGAGUCUUAACUGGGCGUUAAGUUGCAGGGUAUAGACCCGAAACCCGGUGAUCUAGCCAUGGGCAGGUUGAAGGUUGGGUAACACUAACUGGAGGACCGAACCGACUAAUGUUGAAAAAUUAGCGGAUGACUUGUGGCUGGGGGUGAAAGGCCAAUCAAACCGGGAGAUAGCUGGUUCUCCCCGAAAGCUAUUUAGGUAGCGCCUCGUGAAUUCAUCUCCGGGGGUAGAGCACUGUUUCGGCAAGGGGGUCAUCCCGACUUACCAACCCGAUGCAAACUGCGAAUACCGGAGAAUGUUAUCACGGGAGACACACGGCGGGUGCUAACGUCCGUCGUGAAGAGGGAAACAACCCAGACCGCCAGCUAAGGUCCCAAAGUCAUGGUUAAGUGGGAAACGAUGUGGGAAGGCCCAGACAGCCAGGAUGUUGGCUUAGAAGCAGCCAUCAUUUAAAGAAAGCGUAAUAGCUCACUGGUCGAGUCGGCCUGCGCGGAAGAUGUAACGGGGCUAAACCAUGCACCGAAGCUGCGGCAGCGACACUGUGUGUUGUUGGGUAGGGGAGCGUUCUGUAAGCCUGUGAAGGUGUGCUGUGAGGCAUGCUGGAGGUAUCAGAAGUGCGAAUGCUGACAUAAGUAACGAUAAAGCGGGUGAAAAGCCCGCUCGCCGGAAGACCAAGGGUUCCUGUCCAACGUUAAUCGGGGCAGGGUGAGUCGACCCCUAAGGCGAGGCCGAAAGGCGUAGUCGAUGGGAAACAGGUUAAUAUUCCUGUACUUGGUGUUACUGCGAAGGGGGGACGGAGAAGGCUAUGUUGGCCGGGCGACGGUUGUCCCGGUUUAAGCGUGUAGGCUGGUUUUCCAGGCAAAUCCGGAAAAUCAAGGCUGAGGCGUGAUGACGAGGCACUACGGUGCUGAAGCAACAAAUGCCCUGCUUCCAGGAAAAGCCUCUAAGCAUCAGGUAACAUCAAAUCGUACCCCAAACCGACACAGGUGGUCAGGUAGAGAAUACCAAGGCGCUUGAGAGAACUCGGGUGAAGGAACUAGGCAAAAUGGUGCCGUAACUUCGGGAGAAGGCACGCUGAUAUGUAGGUGAAGUCCCUCGCGGAUGGAGCUGAAAUCAGUCGAAGAUACCAGCUGGCUGCAACUGUUUAUUAAAAACACAGCACUGUGCAAACACGAAAGUGGACGUAUACGGUGUGACGCCUGCCCGGUGCCGGAAGGUUAAUUGAUGGGGUCAGCGCAAGCGAAGCUCUUGAUCGAAGCCCCGGUAAACGGCGGCCGUAACUAUAACGGUCCUAAGGUAGCGAAAUUCCUUGUCGGGUAAGUUCCGACCUGCACGAAUGGCGUAAUGAUGGCCAGGCUGUCUCCACCCGAGACUCAGUGAAAUUGAACUCGCUGUGAAGAUGCAGUGUACCCGCGGCAAGACGGAAAGACCCCGUGAACCUUUACUAUAGCUUGACACUGAACAUUGAGCCUUGAUGUGUAGGAUAGGUGGGAGGCUUUGAAGUGUGGACGCCAGUCUGCAUGGAGCCGACCUUGAAAUACCACCCUUUAAUGUUUGAUGUUCUAACGUGGACCCGUGAUCCGGGUUGCGGACAGUGUCUGGUGGGUAGUUUGACUGGGGCGGUCUCCUCCUAAAGAGUAACGGAGGAGCACGAAGGUUGGCUAAUCCUGGUCGGACAUCAGGAGGUUAGUGCAAUGGCAUAAGCCAGCUUGACUGCGAGCGUGACGGCGCGAGCAGGUGCGAAAGCAGGUCAUAGUGAUCCGGUGGUUCUGAAUGGAAGGGCCAUCGCUCAACGGAUAAAAGGUACUCCGGGGAUAACAGGCUGAUACCGCCCAAGAGUUCAUAUCGACGGCGGUGUUUGGCACCUCGAUGUCGGCUCAUCACAUCCUGGGGCUGAAGUAGGUCCCAAGGGUAUGGCUGUUCGCCAUUUAAAGUGGUACGCGAGCUGGGUUUAGAACGUCGUGAGACAGUUCGGUCCCUAUCUGCCGUGGGCGCUGGAGAACUGAGGGGGGCUGCUCCUAGUACGAGAGGACCGGAGUGGACGCAUCACUGGUGUUCGGGUUGUCAUGCCAAUGGCACUGCCCGGUAGCUAAAUGCGGAAGAGAUA
RNAcentral lists this ribosomal RNA (2256 nucleotides) under Escherichia coli. RNAcentral's name for it is "partial 23S ribosomal RNA". It matches the Rfam family "Bacterial large subunit ribosomal RNA", at positions 526 to 2766 of the family's 2925-position model. Lineage: Bacteria; Pseudomonadati; Pseudomonadota; Gammaproteobacteria; Enterobacterales; Enterobacteriaceae. The record is from RNAcentral.